RNAcentral lists this ribosomal RNA (446 nucleotides) under uncultured bacterium. RNAcentral's name for it is "bacterial SSU rRNA". It matches the Rfam family "Bacterial small subunit ribosomal RNA", at positions 330 to 793 of the family's 1533-position model. The record is from RNAcentral.
ACCAGACUCCUACGGGAGGCAGCAGUGGGGGAUAUUGCACAAUGGGGGAAACCCUGAUGCAGCGACGCCGCGUGGGUGAAGAAGUGCCUCGGCGCGUAAAGCCCUGUCAGCAGGGAAGAAAAUGACGGUACCUGAAGAAGAAGCCCCGGCUAACUACGUGCCAGCAGCCGCGGUAAUACGUAGGGGGCAAGCGUCAUCCGGAUUUACUGGGUGUAAAGGGGGCGCAGACGGCGAUGCAAGCCAGGAGUGAAAGCCCGCGGCCCAACCGCGGGACUGCAUUGGGAACUGGCGCGCUGGAGUGCCGGAGGGGUAGGCGGAAUUCCUAGUGUAGCGGUGAAAUGCGUAGAUAUUAGGAGGAACACCAGUGGCGAAGGCGGCCUACUGGACGGUGACUGACGCUGAGGCUCGAAAGCGUGGGGAGCAAACAGGAUUAGAUACCCUCGUAA